RNAcentral lists this ribosomal RNA (984 nucleotides) under Salmonella enterica. RNAcentral's name for it is "bacterial SSU rRNA". It matches the Rfam family "Bacterial small subunit ribosomal RNA", at positions 538 to 1522 of the family's 1533-position model. Lineage: Bacteria; Pseudomonadati; Pseudomonadota; Gammaproteobacteria; Enterobacterales; Enterobacteriaceae. The record is from RNAcentral.
GCGUUAAUCGGAAUUACUGGGCGUAAAGCGCACGCAGGCGGUCUGUCAAGUCGGAUGUGAAAUCCCCGGGCUCAACCUGGGAACUGCAUUCGAAACUGGCAGGCUUGAGUCUUGUAGAGGGGGGUAGAAUUCCAGGUGUAGCGGUGAAAUGCGUAGAGAUCUGGAGGAAUACCGGUGGCGAAGGCGGCCCCCUGGACAAAGACUGACGCUCAGGUGCGAAAGCGUGGGGAGCAAACAGGAUUAGAUACCCUGGUAGUCCACGCCGUAAACGAUGUCUACUUGGAGGUUGUGCCCUUGAGGCGUGGCUUCCGGAGCUAACGCGUUAAGUAGACCGCCUGGGGAGUACGGCCGCAAGGUUAAAACUCAAAUGAAUUGACGGGGGCCCGCACAAGCGGUGGAGCAUGUGGUUUAAUUCGAUGCAACGCGAAGAACCUUACCUGGUCUUGACAUCCACGGAAGUUUUCAGAGAUGAGAAUGUGCCUUCGGGAACCGUGAGACAGGUGCUGCAUGGCUGUCGUCAGCUCGUGUUGUGAAAUGUUGGGUUAAGUCCCGCAACGAGCGCAACCCUUAUCCUUUGUUGCCAGCGGUCCGGCCGGGAACUCAAAGGAGACUGCCAGUGAUAAACUGGAGGAAGGUGGGGAUGACGUCAAGUCAUCAUGGCCCUUACGACCAGGGCUACACACGUGCUACAAUGGCGCAUACAAAGAGAAGCGACCUCGCGAGAGCAAGCGGACCUCAUAAAGUGCGUCGUAGUCCGGAUUGGAGUCUGCAACUCGACUCCAUGAAGUCGGAAUCGCUAGUAAUCGUGGAUCAGAAUGCCACGGUGAAUACGUUCCCGGGCCUUGUACACACCGCCCGUCACACCAUGGGAGUGGGUUGCAAAAGAAGUAGGUAGCUUAACCUUCGGGAGGGCGCUUACCACUUUGUGAUUCAUGACUGGGGUGAAGUCGUAACAAGGUAACCGUAGGGGAACCUGCGGUUGGA